RNAcentral lists this long non-coding RNA (245 nucleotides) under Lathyrus oleraceus (garden pea). Its description in RNAcentral is "Pisum sativum (pea) long non-coding RNA (PSAT_LNC010772)". The record is from RNAcentral. Lineage: Eukaryota; Viridiplantae; Streptophyta; Magnoliopsida; Fabales; Fabaceae.
GUUGCCAUUUGAUAACAACAAUUGUGGUUUUCCCUCCAAUUUUGAAAUUUCUAUGUAAUGAACUUGUGUUGAGAUUCUUUUAUUUUCUCUUUUCUAGUUUGGCCGCAAGUGUGAGUGAUUAAGCCUUACAUCAUCUAUGAAUGAAUGUAAUGUUAGAUUUAUAGGAGAGGAUGUUCAUAUAAGUAAUGCUUUAAGGCUUUUGGUGGAUAUGCGGUGUCUUCCUUUUUUGUGGUCCUAGAGUAUUA